GACGACGCUGGCGGCGUGCUUAACACAUGCAAGUCUAAGGAGAAAGUUCCUUCGGGAGCGAGUAAACUGGCGAACGGGUGAGUAACGCGUAGGUAACCUGCCCUUAAGCUCGGGAUAACCCACCGAAAGGUGAGCUAAUACCGGAUAAUAUCUUUCCUCAUAAGGGGUAAAGAUCAAAGGUGGCUUCGGCUAUCACUUAUGGAUGGGCCUGCGUCUGAUUAGCUAGUUGGUAAGGUAAUGGCUUACCAAAGCAAUGAUCAGUAGCUGGUCUGAGAGGGCGAUCAGCCACAUUGGGACUGAGAUACGGCCCAGACUCCUACGGGAGGCAGCAGUGGGGAAUUUUGCGCAAUGAGCGAAAGCUUGACGCAGCAACGCCGCGUGAUCGAAGAAGCUCUGCGGAGUGUAAAGAUCUGUCAUAGGGGAAGAUAAGUUCCGUUAUUAACACCAUCGGGAUGUGACGGUACCCUAUAAGAAAGCCCCGGCUAACUUCGUGCCAGCAGCCGCGGUAAUACGAGGGGGGCAAGCGUUGUCCGGAUUUAUUGGGCGUAAAGAGUUCGUAGGCUGGUUGGUCAGUCAAAAUUGAAAUCCCACGGCUUAACCGUGGUUCCGGUUUCGAUACUGCCAAUCUUGAGUGAGGUAGAGGUAAGCGGAAUUCCUGGUGUAGCGGUGAAAUGCGUAGAUAUCAGGAGGAACACCAAAGGCGAAGGCAGCUUACUGGACCUAUACUGACGCUGAGGAACGAAAGCGUGGGGAGCGAACAGGAUUAGAGACCCUGGUAGUCCACGCCGUAAACGAUGAGUACUUGGUGGUGGGGGAUUCGACCCCUUCACUGUCGGAGCUAACGCGUUAAGUACUCCGCCUGGGAACUACGACCGCAAG
This 879-nucleotide ribosomal RNA is filed under the name Fidelibacterota bacterium SCGC AAA240-E11. Its description in RNAcentral is "SSU rRNA". It matches the Rfam family "Bacterial small subunit ribosomal RNA", at positions 28 to 892 of the family's 1533-position model. Lineage: Bacteria; Pseudomonadati; Fidelibacterota. The record is from RNAcentral.